Molecule: ribosomal RNA, 755 nt
Filed under: uncultured archaeon
Lineage: Archaea
Description: bacterial SSU rRNA
Rfam family: Archaeal small subunit ribosomal RNA
Source: RNAcentral
AGUCAACAUGCCCAGGGGACGUGGAUAACCUCGGGAAACUGAGGAUAAACCGCGAUAGGUCACUACUUCUGGAAUGGGUAAUGACCCAAACCUAUAUGGCCCCUGGAUUGGACUGCGGCCGAUCAGGCUGUUGGUGAGGUAAUGGCCCACCAAACCUGUAACCGGUACGGGCUCUGAGAGGAGGAGCCCGGAGAUGGGCACUGAGACAAGGGCCCAGGCCCUAUGGGGCGCAGCAGGCGCGAAACCUCUGCAAUAGGCGAAAGCUUGACAGGGUUACUCUGAGUGAUUUCCGUUAAGGAGAUCUUUUGGCACCUCUAAAAAUGGUGCAGAAUAAGGGGUGGGCAAGUCUGGUGUCAGCCGCCGCGGUAAUACCAGCACCCCGAGUGGUCGGGACGUUUAUUGGGCCCAAAGCAUCCGUAGCCGGUUCUACAAGUCUUCCGUUAAAUCCACCUGCUUAACAGAUGGGCUGCGGAAGAUACUAUGGAGCUAGGAGGCGGGAGAGGCAAGCGGUACUCGAUGGGUAGGGGUAAAAUCCGUUGAUCCAUUGAAGACCACCAGUGGCGAAGGCGGCUUGCCAGAACGCGCUCGACGGUGAGGGAUGAAAGCUGGGGGAGCAAACCGGAUUAGAUACCCGGGUAGUCCCAGCUGUAAACGAUGCAGACUCGGUGAUGAGUUGGCUUCAUGCCAACUCAGUGCCGCAGGGAAGCCGUUAAGUUUGCCGCCUGGGGAGUACGGUCGCAAGACUGAAACUUAAA